Molecule: ribosomal RNA, 558 nt
Filed under: uncultured bacterium
Lineage: Bacteria
Description: bacterial SSU rRNA
Rfam family: Bacterial small subunit ribosomal RNA
Source: RNAcentral
AGGGUUUGAUCAUGGCUCAGGAUGAACGCUGGCGGUAUGCCUAAUACAUGCAAGUCGAACGAACUAGCCUUGAACUUAAGAAGUGCUUGCACGGACUAAGGGAAAGAAUUUCUAGUUAGUGGCGGACGGGUGAGUAACACGUAGGUAAUCUACCUUUAAGACUGGGACAACUGUUGGAAACGACAGCUAAUACUGGAUAAGAUUAUAGUCAAAAGACGAAUAAUUGAAAGUUGUGUAUGCAACACUAAAAGAUGAGCCUGCGGUGCAUUAGCUAGUUGGUGAGGUAAAGGCUCACAAAGGCGACGAUGCAUAGUCGGACUGAGAGGUUGAACGGCCACACUGGGACUGAGACACGGCCCAGACUCCUACGGGAGGCAGCAGUAGGGAAUUUUUCGCAAUGGAGGAAACUCUGACGGAGCAAUACCGCGUGUGGGAAGAAGAUUUUCGGAUUGUAAACCACUGUUGUAAGGGAAGAAUGUUGUUAGUAGGAAAUGGCUAACAAGUGACGGUACCUUACCAGAAAGGGACGGCUAACUACGUGCCAGCAGCCGCGGUAAU